This is a ribosomal RNA of Caminicella sporogenes DSM 14501, 70 nucleotides long. Lineage: Bacteria; Bacillati; Bacillota; Clostridia; Peptostreptococcales; Caminicellaceae. The record is from Rfam.
AGAAGUUAAGCCCUUCAGCGCCGAUGGUACUUGGUGGGAGACCGCCUGGGAGAGUAGGUCGUUGCCGGUU